This 336-nucleotide ribosomal RNA is filed under the name uncultured bacterium. RNAcentral's name for it is "bacterial SSU rRNA". It matches the Rfam family "Bacterial small subunit ribosomal RNA", at positions 8 to 334 of the family's 1533-position model. The record is from RNAcentral.
AGAGUUUGAUUCUGGCUCAGGAUGAACGCUAGCUACAGGCUUAACACAUGCAAGUCGAGGGGCAGCAUUUUAGUUUGCUUGCAAACUAAAGAUGGCGACCGGCGCACGGGUGAGUAACACGUAUCCAACCUGCCGAUAACUCGGGGAUAGCCUUUCGAAAGAAAGAUUAAUAUCCGAUAGUAUAUUAAAACCGCAUGGUUUUACUAUUAAAGAAUUUCGGUUAUCGAUGGGGAUGCGUUCCAUUAGUUUGUUGGCGGGGUAACGGCCCACCAAGACUACGAUGGAUAGGGGUUCUGAGAGGAAGGUCCCCCACAUUGGAACUGAGACACGGUCCAA